RNAcentral lists this long non-coding RNA (3335 nucleotides) under Homo sapiens (human). RNAcentral describes it as "HSALNT0301687". Lineage: Eukaryota; Metazoa; Chordata; Mammalia; Primates; Hominidae. The record is from RNAcentral.
AUGCGCAGUCCCCCUUGAACGCACCUCAGGCAUUGAAAAGGGGUCGGAAGUGAAUGGAGUAAACACCUGACAGCAGCGAGCUGGGAUUGAGAACAAAAGAGCACACACAGGACAAUAGAAAAAUCUGAAAAACAAGUGGUUCUCCUCUUCUGGACUUUGAGGUUAUAAGGAGGCUGACUAAAAACUUGGGUUUACAUUAAUGUCUUCAGAUGGCCCGUACUUUGGAACCACUAGCAAAGAAGAUCUUUAAAGGAGUUUUGGUAGCCGAACUUGUAGGCGUUUUUGGAGCAUAUUUUUUGUUUAGCAAGAUGCACACAAGCCAAGAUUUCAGGCAAACAAUGAGCAAGAAAUAUCCCUUCAUCUUGGAAGUUUAUUACAAAUCCACUGAGAAGUCUGGAAUGUAUGGAAUCAGAGAGCUAGAUCAAAAAACAUGGUUGAACAGCAAAAAUUAGAUCCAGUCAUCACGUUCAGCCUCCCAUCUAAGCUGUUUGAGACCUUUGAGAGAAGAAGAAAAGAUGAGUGUACUACCACACUGUAGACUCUUGGUGGUCCCACAGAACAUGCUGCUGAGUCACAGGAACUUCUAGCCUGCCUUGGCCUGUGGUUUCCCACCCACUAUACAAACCCACUGCUUGUUUGUUGCUUUUCUUCUCAUAUUUAUUGUCAAAGAUAAAUGUUUCAAAAAGAAAUGACUAAGGAAGGAAAAGAAACAAAUGCUCUAAAGAUUUUCUCUCCCCAAGCACUUUUACUGGUGAAAUAAAAACCAGUAACAAUCAAUAUGUAAAAACGGCCCACUUCCCUAAAAAAAAGUAAUUUUUGUAGUCUGCAAGGUUUUUUUUUUUUUUGCUUUAGUCUAAAUACUUGUUAAUCUUACAUGUUCUCCUGAGAGAAGAAAAAGCCAUUCCUUUCAGGUUGUAAAGUACCAUGAAAAGGUCUUUCAAAAAUAUUCCUAUCAGCCAGGCAUGGUGGCUCACACCAGUAAUCUCAGCACUUUGGGAGGCCGAGGCAGGCGGGUCACUUGAGGUCAGGAGUUCGAGACCAGCCUGGCCAACAUGGUGAAACCCUGUUUCUACUAAAAAUACAAAAAUUAGCUGGGCGUGGUGGUGCAUGCCUGUAAUCCCAGCUACUUGGGAGGCUAAGGUAGGAGAAUUACUUGAACAUGGGAGAUGGAGGUUGCAGUGAGCCAAGAUCAUGCCACUGCAUUCCAACCUGGGCAAGGGAGUGAGACGCUGUCUCAAAAAAAAAAAAAAAAAAAAAAAAAAAAAAAAAAAAAAAAAAAAAAAAGAAUAAAUAAAAUAACGAAAAUUUCCUAUCUUCUGAAGUUCCAAGCCAAAGCUAUUUUUAAAACAUCAAUAAAAAAAUUUAAGUUACUUACUUGCAUUAUCUUUGUUAGCCAUGGCAUUCAUGCCAAUGUUAUCAAACUUGGAUCCCAUAUUUUCAUCCAAUAGAUGGCCAAACUUUUAAACAAAAACGAUAAAUUUAUUAGAAAACUAAAAAUAAUGUAGAAUAGCUAGCUUGUUAAAACAGUACAUUAGCCUUACCUCUUCAGCAGAUACAAAUAGGCUGGAAUCAUUUAAGUUUCUUUUCUUUUUUCUUGGCCCUAAAAAAAAUUGUAAGUCUACAUUAUUCAAUUAUAAAUCUAAUGAUUUUAGAAAAAUGCAAUGCAACAUGAUUUUAUUUUAAAAAUUAUACUUGGGUAAAAACAAUUGCAAUAAUCUUCUGGCACCAUUGGGUAGCUGGCAUUUAAAUAUAAUUUAAGAGUUAGUAUAUAAUAUUUUCAAAAAGCUAACAACAUCCUAAUAGAACUGUUCAGAUGACAAGAGUGUCUUCUUGCUUUUCAGAUUUGGCCACUGAUCGAAGUUUUACCCAUAAGGGAAAUAACAUAGUAUCAAGCAAUAGUAAAAUUAUCAGUUUGACAUGGAUGGGUUUUGAAAUACUUAAGACACAACAUAAAAUUUAGUUCAGGGGUCUUUAGAUUGUAAAGAAAUUGACUGAAAGUAUGUUUAUUAUGCUAUAAAUGAAGUUGUUUAUAACAGCGAAAAAGGUUCUCCUUUAAAAAAAAAACUUAUCUGUAGUACUGAAUAUAUAAACUUUUCCUGAAACAAUUAUUCAAACUCUGCAUCUUUGAUAUCAAUGUCUCUAGCAGUAGUAGAGCCAUAUUUUAAAAAGAGCUUUACUAAAUACAGAUCAUAACAUUCAGCUGUUUUAAGUGUAUUAACGCAUUUUGGUAAAUUUACAGACUUGUUCAACCACAACCACAGUCUGAUUUUAGAACAUUUCCAUCAACUUCAAAGAUCCCUGGUGCCAUUUGUAGUCCUCCAACCCAUCUCCGAUCUAUCUUGUUUCUAUGACUUGCCUUUUCUGGCUAUUUCAUAUAAAUGGGAUCAUAUGACAUGUGGUUUCCUAUAUCUGACUUUUUUCAUUUAGCAUAACGUUUUUGAGGCUCAUCCAUGUUGUAGUACUCCAUGCCAUGUUGUGGGCUACAUAAUAUUCCAUUGUAUGGAUAUACCACAUUUUGCUUAUCAGUUAAUGGACAUUUAGGUUUUGUCUACUUUUUGGCAUUAAUAGUGCUGCUGUGAACAAUCAUGUACAAGUCUUUGUAUCAGAGCCACUUUUGAUAAAAUAGUUUCUAAAACAUUUCAUCUUGAUUUUUAUUAAGGUGAUAUGUAUGUUACUUAACAGCUGUAUAAUACACAUUUGCAUGCAUUAGGAAGUUUUUUUUGGGUUUUAUUCAUCCUGUAGUGAUGUAUCUGUGACCUCAACGAGUAGGCACUUCUGUACUGUACUGGUUUCUUAAAGUUUCUUUUAUCCCGCCCCCACCCCCAACCUCAGCCUCAAGUAUGUAACACCAUGCCUGGCUAAUUUUUGAUUUUUUUUUUUUUUUUUUUGAGACAGAGUCUCGCUUUGUCGCCAGGCUGGAGUACAGGGGCGUGAUCUCGGCUCACUGCAACCUCUGCCUUCUGGGUUCAAGCGAUUCUCCUGCCUCAGCCUCCCAAGUAGCUGGGCCUACAAGUGCAUGCCACCACGCCAAGCUAAUUUUUGUAUUUUUAGUAGAGAUGGGGUUUCAUCAUGUUGGCCAGGAUGGUCUUGAUCUCUUGACCUUGUGAUCUACCUGCCUUGGCCUCCCAAAGUGCUGGGAUUACAGGCGUGAGCCACUGCGCCCAGCCAUUUUUGAUUUUUUGUAGAGAUGGGGUCUCAUUGUGUUGCCCAGGCUGAUUAAAGUUUCUAUAAGGUAUGUUUAUUCUUAAGGAUAUCUACUCUAACACCUGUAAAUGUAGGGUGAUCAAUUAGUAAAUUAAUAAAUCUGAAUCAAUUAAUAAAUCUGUUUAAAAUUC